UGGCGCACGGGUGCAUAACGCGUGGGAAUCUGCCCUUGGGUUCGGAAUAACUUCGGGAAACUGAAGCUAAUACCGGAUGAUGACGUAAGUCCAAAGAUUUAUCGCCCAAGGAUGAGCCCGCGUAGGAUUAGCUAGUUGGUGAGGUAAAGGCUCACCAAGGCUACGAUCCUUAGCUGGUCUGAGAGGAUGAUCAGCCACACUGGGACUGAGACACGGCCCAGACUCCUACGGGAGGCAGCAGUGGGGAAUAUUGGACAAUGGGCGAAAGCCUGACCCAGCAAUGCCGCGUGAGUGAUGAAGGCCUUAGGGUUGUAAAGCUCUUUUACCCGGGAAGAUAAUGACUGUACCGGGAGAAUAAGCCCCGGCUAACUCCGUGCCAGCAGCCGCGGUAAUACGGAGGGGGCUAGCGUUGUUCGGAAUUACUGGGCGUAAAGCGCACGUAGGCGGCUUUGUAAGUUAGAGGUGAAAGCCCGGGGCUCAACUCCGGAAUUGCCUUUAAGAC
Molecule: ribosomal RNA, 502 nt
Filed under: uncultured Sphingomonas sp.
Lineage: Bacteria; Pseudomonadati; Pseudomonadota; Alphaproteobacteria; Sphingomonadales; Sphingomonadaceae
Description: bacterial SSU rRNA
Rfam family: Bacterial small subunit ribosomal RNA
Source: RNAcentral